UUUUCCUUUUUUUUUUAAUAAAAUACUAUCAUGUUCAUAUCUAUACAAAUAAUUAUUACAACUAUUAAACAAAGUAUUACAUUUAACAAUAGAAAUCUCCGAACUCUGAACAAGAUCAUGGUUUGGGAUAUUUACACCUGAAUGCAACACAUUUGUAAAAAGCUGUCAAAAUAAACAGAACAAGAUCUUAUUUACAAUAGGAAGGUGAUGUUCCUGUUCAUUCAUUAUAGAUUUCUACUGCAGAGUUCCUUUUUGCCAUUACAAAAUAGUAAGGACUUUCCAUGGGGCUGUAUCCAAGCACUUUACAGCUGUAUAAAACAGAAGCACAGCAGAAAACUCUGGACUGAAUAUAAAUAAUUCAUUGUGGAGGGCAACAGCAUCUUUGAUUAAUCUCCUGUGGCAAAAUCCAUCUUUGCUUCCCUUCUCACAGUGAGCAGGCAGGAACAGGGCUAUGACCCACUGCGAGCUUGGUUGUUUCAUGUUGGUGAUUGCCAAAACCAGCAGCACAUAUUGCAAACUUUGAAACCUGCUGGUAAAAAUAGUUCUGCUGAGACAGAAAGAAAUGCCUUUUUUUAAAUUUUAUUUUACAUUUAUCUCCUAAAAACUGGUAUCAGUGGAUAAAAAAAUGGCUUCUGUGUAACUAAAAGCAGGGCUUGUUCACAGAGAGAAGACAGUUUUGUAUUGCCGUGACCAAAAACCUCUGCUGAAUCUUUCACUGGUUCACAGAAUAACUUGCUUUUAGUGUGACCAGAGGGAAGAAAGUGUUGGUGCUCUGAGGUUUUCCAUUUACUCUAGGGACUGCAAAGGCAAACACCCUCACAAGCAAACCUGUGUCUGCACUGGCACUCCUAUCCUUGGGGCUGCUCCUUGUGCUGGAUCAGUGGCAGCGGGAGAAGGGAACAGCAGCAGUAGGUAACUUGUGUUACAUGACAAUACAGAAUGGAGCUCCUUAUGUCACUGUAUGAGAAAACAACACAAAUGUGACCAAUUUCGUAUAAAUAGAUUCAAUGCUGCUCUGCCUUUCCAGUCCAAAUGAGAGCGUUAUAAAGUGAUGAGCAUGGAACUUAUUUGGGGACUAAUGAAAGAUCAUGGCUCUCAGCACAGCUGACUACACUCAAGUCAUCCAGAAACAGCAGGAGUUUGUGGCCAAGUCCUCGAGCCAAGGCUGCACAAGUACCUCUGGAUAAGGUGAAAAGACAACAGGAAAUCUGAGAUGAGGAAACAACCCCUUUCCUCCAGCAAUGCCUCUGCAGUUGCCCUGCCACACGACUGAUUUCCUGCAACAGCAGCAGUCACCAACCACAGCAGCAGCACAGCUUUAAAGUGCAGUAGGAAAUGUGUCCAACAUGCAUUCAGGAGGCUCUGCACUAGCACAGCGUGAGUUUAUUUAUCAGGGGUGCUCUUCCACCUGGGCAGCAGCAUAGUGACUGGAGCUGGGAGCAGGAAACAUGCCAGUCAGGCUCAGCCACCGGCUCAAAUCAGUUCUUAGAAUCCUUACCUGUCCUUAACUGAGGUCCUUUCUCUCACUGAAAGGGUAGAUAACGUUAACACAUCACUUUUCUAUUGCCUGCUUGCAACUCAGUCUGACUCUGCUCUUACUCUCCCAGGCUACUUAUGGGAUUAAUCAAGGGCUACACUGGCAUACAUGCAAUCCAGCAAAUAACUUUGCUAUUGUCCGUUAAAGUCACUUAGGCCAAGCUGAAAGCCACAGCUAUGCCACGAUGGUGGCAGUCUCACUCUAGAGGUAGCGCUCUCCCUUCUGCUGCUGAUUUUGCUUAAUUAAGCAGUACUGGGUAUUUUUACUUCUUCAAAGUUAAAACAAACCCCCACUUAGUGUAAGUAACCAUCUAAAAGGUAUUAUGGAAGAGAAAAUGCCAUUCCUGGGCUAACAAGUUGCAACUAAACCCACAAGAUCUUUUCCAAAUAUACCUUGAGAAACAAAGGGACUGUUAAUUGCCAGGUUGGCAUCACAGAUGUUUGCUGAAGAAAAUGUAUUUGUAUGGUGACAGUUUGACAAACAAACUUCACCGCUUCUCCUGGCAUAGAUGAAGGGAAGGUGAACCUUCCUUAACAUCAUAACAACCCGAUACUGAAACACAACAGCUUCAGGGGUAGGGGAAAGGAAAAAGAAAAGAAAACUAAAAAGAAAGAAAAGAAAGAAUAGUUUCCACUCAAUGGUAAAGAUGUUGCCAUCGUUCUUCUUCCUGAGAGCAAGAGGCCAAAGCUCUGGGAAAGGGCCAGGAGAUGGAAGCUGAAACACAGACCUGUCAGUGGCACAAUCUGACCUACAAAGUAAAUGCAAGACGCCUGGUCAGUGUGAAACAGGAGUGAUUAGUUUAUGGUAAAGAGGAAAACCAAAACAAUUUCAUAAUGAAAAAAUAACCAAAAUUACUUAACAUCAGAUUUCC
RNAcentral lists this long non-coding RNA (2408 nucleotides) under Strigops habroptila (Kakapo). RNAcentral describes it as "lncRNA (ENSSHBG00005008130.1)". Lineage: Eukaryota; Metazoa; Chordata; Aves; Psittaciformes; Psittacidae. The record is from RNAcentral.